This 462-nucleotide ribosomal RNA is filed under the name uncultured Smithella sp. Its description in RNAcentral is "bacterial SSU rRNA". It matches the Rfam family "Bacterial small subunit ribosomal RNA", at positions 923 to 1382 of the family's 1533-position model. The record is from RNAcentral. Lineage: Bacteria; Pseudomonadati; Thermodesulfobacteriota; Syntrophia; Syntrophales; Smithellaceae.
GCACAAGCGGUGGAGUAUGUGGUUUAAUUCGACGCAACGCGCAGAACCUUACCUAGACUUGACAUCCCGGGAUUUUCUGGAAACAGAGAAGUGCUUUAGCAAUAAAGAACCCGGUGACAGGUGCUGCAUGGCUGUCGUCAGCUCGUGUCGUGAGAUGUUGGGUUAAGUCCCGCAACGAGCGCAACCCUCGCCUUUAGUUGCCAGCAUUCAGUUGGGCACUCUAGCGAGACUGCCGGUAAUAAACCGGAGGAAGGUGGGAUGACGUCAAAUCAUCAUGCCCCUUAUGACCUGGGCUACACACGUGCUACAAUGGUUGGUACAACGAGUUGCGAGUCGGUGACGGCGAGCUAAUCUCUUAAAGCCAAUCUCAGUUCGGAUUGUAGGCUGCAACUCGCCUACAUGAAGUCGGAAUCGCUAGUAAUCGCGGAUCAGCACGCCGCGGUGAAUACGUUCCCGGGCCUU